RNAcentral lists this unclassified non-coding RNA (1693 nucleotides) under Neodiprion pinetum (white pine sawfly). RNAcentral's name for it is "uncharacterized LOC124216860, transcript variant X2". The record is from RNAcentral. Lineage: Eukaryota; Metazoa; Arthropoda; Insecta; Hymenoptera; Diprionidae.
AUGGGAUCUCCUCUCUCCCCAAUCCUGUCAGACCUGGUCAUGGAAGACUUGGAAACGUCUUGCAUUAAUGAUCUUGGUUUUGAUUUACCGUUCUACUUUCGACACGUGGAUGAUAUUCUUACUGCCGUUCCAAACGAAAAAAUAGAUCACACCCUUAAUAUUUUUAACCGGUACCAUCCAAGAUUACAAUUUACUAUCGAAACAGAAGAAAAUAACGCCAUCAGUUUCUUAGACGUAUUGUUGAUACACAACAAUAAUAAUAUCAAGACAGAUUGGUUUCACAAAAAAACCUGGUCACAAAGAUACCUGAAUUUUAAUUCUCACCAUCCUUUGUCCUUCAAAAUAGGCACCAUCAUUAACCUAGUUGACCGAGCUAUCAAACUAGCCAGUACAGAGUUCCAGGAAAAAAACCUGUCGCUCAUAUACAAUAUACUUAGAUGGAAUGAUUACCCUCAUGGCCUAUUACACCAACAAAUUAAUAAGAGACGCACCUACAUCAACAACAUACCUGACAAUAAUAUUGACUCUACUCCCGCUGAGGAUAACAAUAGACCCGCUACUACAUAUAUCCCCAUCCCAUAUAUAUCUGGUCUAUUUGAGUCACUUAACCGCUUAUUCGCCAAAUAUAAUGUCAAGUUUGUUGGAAAAAAUUCAAAAGAUUUACAACUAGUUUUUGAUACAGGAAAAGACAAGAUCCCCAUGGGCAAACGAUCUAAUGUCGUGUAUAAAAUACCAUGCAAUGAUUGCAAUCAAGUCUACAUAGGUCAAACUGGUCGACAUCUCAACACUAGAAUUAGGGAACACCAACGCAACAUACAUGAGACUGAAGAACGUCACACAGCUCUAACGAAACAUAGUAUCGAUAAACAACACACUUUUAAUUACGACAACACAAACAUCCUUUGUGAAGAACACAAUUAUUAUAGAAGACUGUUAUUAGAAAUGUGCAACAUUGUAGGUCACACCAAUUCUGUUAAUCUUAGACAAGAUGUUGAACAUUUAAGUAAUAUUUACAAACCUCUAAUCUCCGCCCACACAACAAAUAUUGUUUAACCUUAACUACAUACAAAAAAAUUUUUUGUCCCCAUUAUACAGUCCUUUCUACAUAACUUUUCUUACAAAAUAUUUAUUGUUUUUCUGUAUAAUUGUUUAUAAUAGGUUCACCUUCACUCUGGAUUACAUUGUUUUCUCCCAUCAGUCGUUAUUCACCUGUUGACUCAAUUGGUUCAACCAACAAUAUUUCGUUAGACAUGUGGAACUUAAUUAUAAAGAGCCUACCUCCACUUCUUUGACACCUGUGAAUUAAUUUUAUUGCUCAAAAGACCUUCUUUAUUAAAACAUAGUUAUAUAUAUAUAAAAAGUUAAAAAGAAAAUAGUUAUUAUAGAAACAUAGUUCUUUAAUUUUUUUAAUUAAUCACUUCCAACCAUUAACUUCCACAUAUAAAAUAACUUGAAGAUUGACAUUGUCUAACGUCACUCAAAAGAACACUGUCUCCACCAAUUGUAAUUGUGAAUUCGACUACAUCUUAGUCCACUUACUUAAUUCAAAAGCAAGUUAAUGGAGCAACGAUAAUUCAAGAUGGAAGUUCGUCACAAAAAUUACAAACAAUAAGCCCGUUGCCACAACGUCUUGUCAAUUGGUGGCAAUGGUAUCAGCAAUUGACAGGGAUGGAUAAAGUUGAAAUAGCAAAGC